This 654-nucleotide ribosomal RNA is filed under the name uncultured archaeon. RNAcentral describes it as "bacterial SSU rRNA". It matches the Rfam family "Archaeal small subunit ribosomal RNA", at positions 508 to 1160 of the family's 1478-position model. The record is from RNAcentral.
GCCUAAAGCGUCCGUAGCCGGCUCUGUAAGUUUUCGGUUAAAUCUGUACGCUCAACGUACAGGCUGCUGGGAAUACUGCAGAGCUAGGGAGUGGGAGAGGUAGACGGUACUCGGGAGGAAGUGGUAAAAUGCUUUGAUCUCUCGAUGACCACCUGUGGCGAAGGCGGUCUACCAGAACACGUCCGACGGUGAGGGAUGAAAGCUGGGGGAGCAAACCGGAUUAGAUACCCGGGUAGUCCCAGCUGUAAACUAUGCAAACUCAGUGAUGCGUUGGCUUAUGGCCAGCGCAGUGUUGCAGGGAAGCCGUUAAGUUUGCCGCCUGGGAAGUACGUACGCAAGUAUGAAACUUAAAGGAAUUGGCGGGGGAGCACCACAAGGGGUGAAGCCUGCGGUUCAAUUGGAGUCAACGCCAGAAAUCUUACCCGGAGAGACAGCAGAAUGAAGGUCAAGCUGAAGACUUUACCAGACAAGCUGAGAGGUGGUGCAUGGCCGUCGCCAGCUCGUGCCGUGAGAUGUCCUGUUAAGUCAGGUAACGAGCGAGAUCCCUGCCUCUAGUUGCCACCAUUACUCUCAGGAGUAGUGGGGCGAAUUAGCGGGACCGCCGCAGUUAAUGCGGAGGAAGGAAGGGGCCACGGCAGGUCAGUAUGCCCCGAA